CUUGCACAUAAACCCAAAGUUCAUUGUGUUUCUUACAUGAACUUGUCUGUUGUGCAAAUAUUAACUGUAUCUUGUCGCCUUUCUUGAGCAGAUGUGCUCAUGACAGUGAAAUAGAAGAUACAACAAUU
Molecule: small nucleolar RNA, 128 nt
Organism: Pseudophryne corroboree (corroboree frog)
Lineage: Eukaryota; Metazoa; Chordata; Amphibia; Anura; Myobatrachidae
Product: small nucleolar RNA SNORA68
Exons: 1
Source: RefSeq, a predicted model, not a curated record